GUUAAUGUAGCUUAAAUAAUAAAGCAGGGCACUGAAAAUGCCAAGAUGAACCACCCCGGCUCCAUAAACA
This 70-nucleotide transfer RNA is filed under the name Dendrohyrax dorsalis (Western tree hyrax). RNAcentral describes it as "tRNA-Phe". Lineage: Eukaryota; Metazoa; Chordata; Mammalia; Hyracoidea; Procaviidae. The record is from RNAcentral.